RNAcentral lists this long non-coding RNA (447 nucleotides) under Elaeis guineensis (African oil palm). Its description in RNAcentral is "long non-coding RNA (EGUI_LNC007992)". Lineage: Eukaryota; Viridiplantae; Streptophyta; Magnoliopsida; Arecales; Arecaceae. The record is from RNAcentral.
AUCAUUUAAAAAUAAAUAAGGAGCAUAAGAUCCACUUACCUCGUUCAUCUUAGAUCUUCAGACUUCGUUAAAAGAAUCAGCUAAUCCUAUUUAAAAUAUCAAAUCAUCAUCAAUUUCUAUUCCAUAAAUAUAAUAAGAUUAAAUCAUAAAGAAAGAGAACUAUUGACCGAAUGUGUCGGACCAUCCAGAUAUCAGGGCAAUUCAGGAUCUCUGAUCUGAGGGUCAGAUUCAAGUGACUUGAUCAAGAAAUCAUGAAGCACAGAUCGAAUUAAGGUCAAGAUCAAUCAAUAGGAUUCUUUAAUAAUGAAUUUGAAAGAUCCUUGAUAUGAUCAAAUGAGGUUGACAUACAGCACGGAUAUCAAAGCAAUUUCGGAUCAUCUUGUUAGAGUCAAUAUGAGCUUCUAAAAGAUGAAGGCAUGACUCGAUACAGGAUUCAUAAACCUUUUU